Long non-coding RNA from Malania oleifera, 2700 nucleotides. RefSeq lists it as uncharacterized. The transcript has 5 exons. Lineage: Eukaryota; Viridiplantae; Streptophyta; Magnoliopsida; Santalales; Ximeniaceae. The record is from RefSeq and is a predicted model, not a curated record.
GUAAGGAUUCAAAAUUCCCAGAAAUCAGUCCUUUCAGGUACUCCACCUGAAACCGUAUCAAAAACCCCCAAAUCUCCAAUUCCCUCAUUCAUCUUUGGAAUCCACUUGAUUGUUUUGGAGGCUGCGAGCAGUUGCAUUUUUCUCACUUGAUUUGGCGAUUGAUCCACAGACCGAGGUUCUUGUUGUCAGAAACCCUAAUUCAUCAGCGGUUUCACAGCAGCAAAAGGUGUUUUUCUCAGCUUCGGCUGAUUUGUCUGCAAAGCGUGUCAAAUUGGUGAUUUGAUGCGUCUAACCAAGUCUAAGCAUUUAGGGUUUGUUUUUUUUUUUUGGAAUACGCACCGGAUAUCCGUUUUACGGUCCACGUGACUAAUCCUGCGCCUCUUGAAGUUAACCUCACAACUCCAAAGGGAGGGUAAAUUUAGGAGUUCAGGGGCGGAAACAAACCAAAGAGGGUUUAAACACCUGAUCUCGUGAAAGACACUCCCGCAACCCGCAAAACCACACCCUGGGGGUGUUUGUUUUUCUACUUUGUUGGAGUGAGUAUGGUGAUAUCAAUUGUUUUUCAUGAAUGGUUUAUUUAUUUUUCUGAUGUUUUGUGGUCAAGAAUGCCAUUUUAGUUUAUUUUGCAAUUCCAAAUUUUAAUAUCUACGCAGCAUGUCUGAUCAGAUUGACCUGAAUCGCUUUUAAUACCUGGUUGGACCUGUUAGUUUGUCGUGUGAGACAUAAAAAGUUAUGACUGGUGAUAUAAUGCUAUGUGUUCUGGCAUUGAAGAUGUCAUGUAUUCUUUGCUCUGCAUUUUCCAGUUUUAUUAGAUAUUUCAAUCUAAAGUUUGAAUUCGAGAGGUUCAAUGUAACACAAAUUUUAAUUCUACUUUGCUGUCUAUUUCUUCCUUUUCUCUUGUAAUUAAAAUUCAUUUAGAUCUGAAGCAUGUGCAAUUUCUUUGAUGUUGUUUGGAUUCUUGUGGUGUCUUUAAAAGUGCGAGCUUUCUUUGCCCAGAAAAAUGGUAUUGUUGGAAGAAAAUAUCUAAGAAAUUUUAGAUUAUUUUUUUCACAAAAUUGGCAAAGUUUUUAUUCCUGUGGCAUUCUUUGCAUGAUUUCUUAUGUUCUGAAACAUUGUUUAAAUCAUUUAUAUGCUGACUGUCAAUUUGUUUGCAUUUUUAUUUUUACGAGAUGUGCGUAAGCACACACAUGCACAAAUGAGAUAAGAAAGGAGAGAGACUGGGGGUGGGGGGGAUUGUUUGUUGGCAGUUUUGGUAACUCUAAAACUGUGGCUGUGCUUCCUUAUAAGGUUUUAGGAAUGAAACUUGAGACUUCUUUACUGCACAUGCAAGCAAGAAGUGAGAAAUAUAAGAAUGAGUUUAUAUUCAAAUACAAAGAAACAGUUGUUGAUGUGUCUAGUCCAUGCUGUGAGAAGGUUGCACACUAUAAGCAAGCUGACGUUGGCCCAAAGGCACCAGGAGAUCUACUCUGAACUUGGUGGAGUGAUGGACUAUGAGGAAAAUCAAAGCCAGCCGAAUCGGUAAUGGGUAAUUAGGAGGCAGCAUCAAAUUUCUCGUACAGUUAGAGUGACAUUCAGGAGGCAGCAUCCAUUUGCUCCUCCUGAAAAAUAUGAGCUCGUGCAAAUGGCACAACCAUGGGGAUUGAAAUUCCAUUUACUACUCUGAAAGUUAUGCAUUCAACAAGGAAUGCUGUGAACUUGAAAGAACUUUCUUGCCGAAAAAUGCCAUCUCCAUCAAGCCACCUCUCCGGCCGGAAUUCCUCUGCAUCAUCACCCCAUAAGAAUUUCAUCCUACCCAUGGCAUAAGGGUAGAGCCUGAGUGUGUCAGUCAAAGCUGCAUGGAGAUACUGCAUUUUGUCUAAGGCAUCUUCAGUUAUGCUGGCUGCAAGCUCAUCAAAAGUUGCAUCAUCUUUCACUCUUAUGGCUUCUCUCACUUCACGCGCAAUUUUUUCUUGUAUGAAUCGCUUGAUCUUCCAGAAGAUAUCAACAUAUCGAUAUAGGGUUAUUGUGCUUGCUUCAUCAAAAGCUUUGGAGAAUCGGGCACCUUCUUCAUUGGUUCCACACAUGGUAUCUAGUUCUGUACCUAGAACGACCUUAAAUACGGAGUCCAAAGCUGAUUUCAUAAACAGGUCCUGUUGAUCGGUAGAAUGGUUAGUGUUUUUUCGGUGGAUAUACCUUUCAAAUAUGAAUUCUUCUUAUUGUACCUGGAUCUCUAUUGAUUGAUUUGAGGAUGCAGCUUCUGAGAAUAUCUGCGCAAGUUUUGCGGCAUUGCUUCUUAGGAAUACACUGCUGAAGUCCCUCAGAAUCUUGGUGGAGAAUUCAUGGUUUGAUAUCUUCCUCUGAUGUCACCACUUCUCCCCAUCCACCGUUAAGAUUCCAUCACCCAGAAGAUCAUUCAAAAUGUUGUAGUGGUACCACCCCUAGAACAAGUUCAUGAGCUCUAUUGAACAUUUGAGGCUAAACCAUGUGAACUGACUGAACUCAUACCUUAUUUGUAGUUUGUUUAAAAAAAAAAAGUUAUAUAUAUAGUAUAGAUAAUCAGUAGUUUGAUGAAAUCAUAUAUAUCUUGAUUUUUUUUUUUUUUCAGUCAAUGUUAAUUUGGUUCGUUGACACAAAACAUUUACAUUUCUACAUUUUUAAUGUCACUUUCUUGACUUCUUGUUGAGACAUUUAAAAACAUGGGAAUCUAUUGGAGCUUUCAUA